Molecule: long non-coding RNA, 729 nt
Organism: Astyanax mexicanus (Mexican tetra)
Lineage: Eukaryota; Metazoa; Chordata; Actinopteri; Characiformes; Acestrorhamphidae
Exons: 3
Source: RefSeq, a predicted model, not a curated record
CUGAAAAUGAGACAACUAAGCCAAGUAGAGGCUCCAGUCAACAGAGAAUGCAUAAACUGGAAGUGGUGCAACAGUAUGGGCCAUGAGUCAUAAUACCCAGACUGUGCUGUAUUCCCAAAAGCUUCAGUAUCUUACACCAAGAUAUCAUCCAUGCAGUUGCAGCAUUCUUCAUAUAAGAGACAACGUUGCCAGUGUGUGACAGCUAAGCCAAGUUGAGACUCCAGUCAAUAGAAGAUGCUUAAACUGGAAGUGGUGCAGUAGUCUGGGUGAGGAUUCAUCAUACCCAGAGUGUGCUGUAUUCCCCUAAGUCUCUCACACCAAGAUAUCAUUCAUGCAGCAUUCCUCAUAUAAGUCUGUGAAUAAGACAACUAAGCCAGGCUGAUGCUACAAUGAACAACAGAUGUCUAAACUGGAACAGGUGCUCUACUGUGGACAAUGACUCAUUAUAGCCAAAUUGAACUGUAAUCGCGAAGGCUAACUCACACUACAUCGACCUAUGCAUGGACAAGUAUUCCACUUACUUCACUUUAAUUUCCUCUUGGAUGCAUCCUUUGCACUUGGACUAUUGGACUAUUACUCUAUGACAACUCCCAACUCUACUACUGUAUUCAAGCUGGCAUGCUAACAAUACAUCUGUCUUUAUGUACACUAUAUAAUAAUGUUUAAUCAUACCUGUUAAUGUUUUUAUGUAUUUCAUUUUGCUACUGUCCAAACAAAACCACAUGUCUC